GACGAACGCUGGCGGCGUGCUUAACACAUGCAAGUCGAACGGUAAGGCCCUUCGGGGUACACGAGUGGCGAACGGGUGAGUAACACGUGGGUGAUCUGCCCUGCACUUCGGGAUAAGCCUGGGCAACUGGGCCUAAUACCGGAUAGGACUCCUGGGUUCAUGGUUGGGGGUGGAAAGCUUUUGCGGGGUGGGGUGGGCCCGCGGCCUAUCAGCUUGUUGGUGGGGUGAUGGCCUACCAAUGCGACGACGGGUAGCCGGCCUGAGAGGGUGACCGGCCACACUGGGACUGAGAUACGGCCCAGACUCCUACGGGAGGCAGCAGUGGGGAAUAUUGCACAAUGGGCGCAAGCCUGAUGCAGCGACGCCGCGUGAGGGAUGACGGCCUUCGGGUUGUAAACCUCUUUCAGCACCGACGAAGCGCAAGUGACGGUAGGUGCAGAAGAAGGACCGGCCAACUACGUGCCAGCCGCCGCAGUAA
RNAcentral lists this ribosomal RNA (478 nucleotides) under uncultured bacterium. Its description in RNAcentral is "partial 16S ribosomal RNA". It matches the Rfam family "Bacterial small subunit ribosomal RNA", at positions 28 to 523 of the family's 1533-position model. The record is from RNAcentral.